AAUUAGCCCCGAUGGCAGCAAGUAUCCUUUUUAUUGUGUUAUACAAAAGUUGAUUUUAAAAAUAGGUUUUCUGCACAAUAAAAAGAUACUGCGUACAGCGGGAGGAUUG
This 109-nucleotide small RNA is filed under the name Flavobacterium sp. 11. Its description in RNAcentral is "Flavo-1 RNA". It matches the Rfam family "Flavo-1 RNA". The record is from RNAcentral. Lineage: Bacteria; Pseudomonadati; Bacteroidota; Flavobacteriia; Flavobacteriales; Flavobacteriaceae.